Non-coding RNA from Hydra vulgaris (swiftwater hydra), 1579 nucleotides. Lineage: Eukaryota; Metazoa; Cnidaria; Hydrozoa; Anthoathecata; Hydridae. The record is from RefSeq and is a predicted model, not a curated record.
UUAUUUUGAUGUGUUUUUCUUUUUUAGUUGUAAUUUAUUUGGUUUUAGCAGUUUUUUCAUCGAGUUUUCAAAAAUAUUAUCAAUGAAAAAUCAGCAUGACGUUUACGAUGGAUUUAACAUCAUUGAAGAACCAGCACGAUCUUUAGGAAUAAUUUUUUUUGUAUUUGAAAAUCGUUUGGGAUUUAUUUUUUAAUUGACUUCACAUUUUUGAACUAUAGAUUUUCAAUAUUCUUCAAUCAAGAUUUUUUCUGCGAAAAAUAUUAAGAAGAAAAGAAAAAGAAAAAGAAAAAAAUUAUAGUAAAGAUAAAAAUAAAAGCAGAAAAUGGGUUGCGCCGUGUCAUGUAGGAGCAAUCACGAACUAAUAACGAAAGAAAACGGUAAAAAGAGAAAAACUUGUUUGGAGAAAAACGAACUUUGUUCAGCAGAAAACGUUCUUACUCCUGUACAAAUAAAAAAUGAAGUUCGAUACUUUAAGUUUCCAUUGUCCAAAAAGGAAGUUGAAGCAUUAAAGAAUUCAUGGGAUCACGUAAAAUCUAGAUGGUUUGAACUAUUAAAAGUCGUCUUUCGAAGAGUAGAGAAUAAAUAAGAAAUGGAAAGCCUUUCAAUCUUAGAGCGAAAAUCAACCAAUCAAGAAACAACGUUUCAAUCAACCAAUCAAGAAACAACGUUUCAAAAGAUAUUAUAGCAGUUAAACAGUUAAAAGAAGUGUUAAAUAAGGUGUUAAACAUCGUAUUGAUAAAAUUAUACUGCAUUCAAUUUAAUAAAAUUUCCACUAAUCAAAAGUCAUUUAAUACUCAACAAAUAACUUGGUGGUUUCAUCGAAACAAAUGACUUGAAGGUGUCAUCGAAACAAACAUUUUGGUGGUGUCAUUGAAACAAAUAACUUGGUGGUUAAAAAUAAAUCAAUUUUUCAUUGAAAUAAAGAACUUAGUGGUGUCAUUGAAGCAAAUAAUUUGGUAGUAUCAUUGAAACUAAUGGUUUGGCGGUGUCAUUGAAGGAAAUGGCUUGGUGGUGUCAUUGAAACAAGUAGCUUGGUGGUGUCAUUGAAACUGAAAAAGAAAAGAAUGUUGUUCAAUUUUUAAUAAAACUGAACUAAAUUUGUUAUUCCGUGAUAUAAGGAACAAGAACAGAUGGUUUACAACACACCCUACAGUAAGAAAACUUUUUAAAAAUCUCCCGGCAAACUCUUCAUUUGAAGAACUACUUGUUUCUAAAGAACUUGUAAUUCAUGUGCAAAGAAUAGAAUCGGCAGUUGAUAUCGUAAUUAGCAAAGUAGAUAAAAUUGAAGAUUUGAUAUUACUUCUAAUCGAACUUGGUAGAUUGCAUUAUGAACUAGGAGUUAACCAAAGCCACGCCAAUGCUCUUGCGGCAAGUUUUCAGUUUGGGAUUUGUGAAGUAUUUCAAGGUAUUGAUUUAGUAACAGAGAGUGCCUGGGACAGUCUUCUACGCUUUAUAAUGGACAUCUUUAAAUACGGUAUACGGUUAGAGGAAAAAGCACUUAACCUUAAGAACAAGCUAUAAAACACGCAAAUGCAUCUUAACGACGUAAAACACGCAAAUGCAUCUUAACGACGUAAAA